CGCUAAGGCAACCGAUGCUUUUUUUCCCCCUCACUUGCUCUCUGUAUCUCCCCCUUUCUCUCUGUCUCCCUCUCUCAUUCCCUUUCUCCACUGCCAGAGAGAGCGAUGAUCGCAGCAGCGGAGUCUCAGUGAACACAGCGAAGCGAUGGAGAGAUGCUCCAUCUCUCCUGUCGCACGACUGACUGCCCUCGCCUCCCUCCUCCUGAUUGCUGUGGUGAUACAGCCCUCCACCUGUAACCGUGACGACAGUGAAGGCGAGGAGCAGGUGGA
Long non-coding RNA from Solea solea (common sole), 270 nucleotides. RefSeq lists it as uncharacterized. The record is from RefSeq and is a predicted model, not a curated record. The transcript is spliced from 3 exons. Lineage: Eukaryota; Metazoa; Chordata; Actinopteri; Pleuronectiformes; Soleidae.